This 509-nucleotide ribosomal RNA is filed under the name uncultured bacterium. Its description in RNAcentral is "bacterial SSU rRNA". It matches the Rfam family "Bacterial small subunit ribosomal RNA", at positions 15 to 518 of the family's 1533-position model. The record is from RNAcentral.
GAUCAUGGCUCAGGAUGAACGCUAGCUACAGGCUAACACAUGCAAGUCGAGGGGCAGCAUUGGAGUAGCAAUACUCAGAUGGCGACCGGCGCACGGGUGAGUAACACGUAUCCAACCUGCCGCUUACUCGGGGAUAGCCUUUCGAAAGAAAGAUUAAUACCCGAUGGUAUAAAGAGUUCGCAUGUUCUCUUUAUUAAAGAAUUUCGGUAAGCGAUGGGGAUGCGUUCCAUUAGAUUGUUGGCGGGGUAACGGCCCACCAAGUCUACGAUGGAUAGGGGUUCUGAGAGGAAGGUCCCCCACAUUGGAACUGAGACACGGUCCAAACUCCUACGGGAGGCAGCAGUGAGGAAUAUUGGUCAAUGGACGAGAGUCUGAACCAGCCAAGUAGCGUGAAGGAUGACUGCCCUAUGGGUUGUAAACUUCUUUUAUAAGGGAAUAAAGUGAGGGACGUGUCCCUUUUUGUAUGUACCUUAUGAAUAAGGAUCGGCUAACUCCGUGCCAGCCGCAGC